Molecule: ribosomal RNA, 469 nt
Filed under: uncultured bacterium
Lineage: Bacteria
Description: partial 16S ribosomal RNA
Rfam family: Bacterial small subunit ribosomal RNA
Source: RNAcentral
GACGAACGCUGGCGGCGUGCUUAACACAUGCGAGUCGAACGGAAAGGCCCUGCUUUUGUGGGGUGCUCGAGUGGCGAACGGGUGAGUAACACGUGAGUAACCUGCCCUUGACUUUGGGAUAACUUCAGGAAACUGGGGCUAAUACCGGAUAGGAGCUCCUGCUGCAUGGUGGGGGUUGGAAAGUUUCGGCGGUUGGGGAUGGACUCGCGGCUUAUCAGCUUGUUGGUGGGGUAGUGGCUUACCAAGGCUUUGACGGGUAGCCGGCCUGAGAGGGUGACCGGCCACAUUGGGACUGAGAUACGGCCCAGACUCCUACGGGAGGCAGCAGUGGGGAAUAUUGCACAAUGGGCGGAAGCCUGAUGCAGCAACGCCGCGUGCGGGAUGACGGCCUUCGGGUUGGAAACCGCUUUCGCCUGUGACGAAGCGUGAGUGACGGUAAUGGGUAAAGAAGCACCGGCUAACUACGUGC